AUUAAAAACAUAAAUUUGAUUUAUUUUAAAAUACAUUUAGUUUAAAGUCUGUUUUAUAUCAUCCAUCGUCUGGCACUUCUUUCAUCAUUUAUGGUGUUGUUACAUCGAAAUAUCUUGAGAUAUAAAAAAAAAAACAAUCCACAAGUCCAUAUAUAUAUCAUACUGAAGGUUUUCUUCAUCAGAAUCAACCCAGCCUCCAUCAAAAAAGCAACAAACCUUUUGUGCUUUUCGAUAGAUAAGACGGGCCAUUCCGUUAGUUCAACUCAUUUCUGGUUACGUUAGAUUCCAACAGGCCCAAUGAAUUGAUCAGCUCUGGUAUUCUUUCGUCUGCUGUCGUAUUUGUACCUUCAGGUGUGACGAAACCUUUGGUUCUGUUCUGCUACUUCAGAGAAUGCAGUAACGAAAAUUUUGUAUCGUUAUCAUCAUCAUCAUCGACUGAUAGAUACAGAUGAAAUAAAACGUGUGCGUAUGUAUAUACACAUAUUUCACAAAGACAAGAAAGAAAAGAAGUGUCUGGUGGAGACAUGGUGUUACAAGAGAGGUGCCGCACUCCGAGUGAUUUGUAGGUGGCGCACGAACAUUGAAUUAAUUAUUCACAUCGAAAGUUAGAAGGAGCGUAUCAAAGAGAGAUUGAAAUUGAAAUGGGAUGUUCCAUGCUUUUUGAACUUAAAACUGUUAAUUUAAAAUUAAAAUCGAAAAACCUUUUAUUUCGAUUAAAGCCAAUACAAAUAGUUCCAGCUUGGAUGAAUCUUUUCUUCGAAAGAUAAAAAGAAAAAAAACACAAAAGUCAUAUUUCGACAUAUUUUGGCAAAUUGCGGGGAAAACAGAAAAUGAAAUAAAAAUGUAAAGUUAUAUGAAAAAUAUUAAUUUGACAAAAUAUUGUACCUGGGAGGUGAGAAACUUGGAGAAUUCUUUCACAAAACAAGAAUUGAAUAUGUAAGGCAAUGGGAUAGGAUAAAAACAAAAACUGGUUUUAAUGUGUUUCACUGAGAAAUAUUGGGUUUAAAUUUUGGCACAGGGUCAAUUACAUCAACCCCAGUGUUUAACUGGUACUUAUUUUAUCAACCCCAGAAGGAUGAAGGGCAAAGUCAACCUCAGCGGAAUUUGAACUCAGAACGUAAAGACAGCUGAAAUGCUGCUAAGCAUUUUGUCUGGCAUGCUAACACUUCUGCCAGCUUGCUGCCUUAUUUCUCUGAGAAAUAUUGGUCAAUGAAAUAGUUGAGUAUUGUCUUGAGCCCUAGGACUCAUAGGGCCAUCUACUCAGUUUCCAUGGUGUAUAUAUGUGGUCAAGAUCACAACACUGCCCUUGAGUGAAAAGCCAGGCCAUCACAAGGGGGACUCGUUUACAGUUGAGCUUUGGACUGGAACAACAUGGAAUGAAGUGUUUUGCUCAAGAACACAACGCAUCACCCAGUCUGGGAAUUGAAACCAUGAUCUUACAAUUGUGAGGGCAACACCCUAACCACUGGUUCGUCACAUCUGUGUUCGUUUAUUUGAUGUGUGUCUUUUAUGAGAUGACAAGUUGUUGAGAUGUGAAGAUUGAGAUAAAAAAAAAACUGUUGGGAAACAAUAACGAAAUAAUAUCGAACAAUAUUGAAACAAUAUCAAACAACAUUGAAUAUUGAACAAUAUUGAAUUGGCUAAAUGUUAGAAUCUCUUUCUUCAGCAGUUGUUAGCUUCGAGCAUUGAGCAGAAACACUAAACUCUCAGAAUGUUCCAGAGAGAAGCUGACAGCAAACUGGCAUCAUAUAACAAGCGAUGGAGGGAAUGGGGACUGUUGGUGGUGUUGGUGGUGGUCAUGGUGGUGAUGGUGUUGGAGUUGGGAGAGGUCCUGGGGUUGGUUUUACUUCCAACGAGUGCAACAGAGGCAGAGAUAAACAGCAACAAACACAUGAACAUGUGAAGUGUCUUCUAAGUGACUAGCAUUGGUAUCGAUUGAUGGGACUAUCAAAUGUUGUUAUACACCGCUGGCCACAAUGCACUUUGCAUUGUUUUAGGGUUUUGAAUGACGCUCACGCUACCAGGUGGGGUGAGCAGAUUAACGUUCCUGCUGCAUGGAAUAACAGUCCAUUGCAAAGUUAGUGAAUUAGAGCAAAGUGAAGUGAAGUGUUCUGCUCAAGAACACAACAUGCAGCUGGUCUGAGAGUCAAAACAAUGAUAUCACAAUCACGAGUGCAACACUCCUCACCAUUAGACCACGUGCCUUUACCUUAAAAGCGAUCAGGUGACAAAAACAAAGCAAAAACAAAGAGUAAAGUUUAAAAAGAUGAAUGUGAUGAAAGUCUUUAAAAAAAUGAUGGAUCUUAACCCUUUCGUUACCAACCUGGCUGAAACCGGCUCUGGCUCUGUAGUACAAAUGUCUUGUUUUUGAAAGUUCUGAAUUAAAAUCUUCCCCCAAACCUUAGUCACAAUUUAUGUUCCUAACACUAACUUAAUGAUAACCAAGUUAUUUUACUAAAUUCUUUGUUAUAUUUAAAGUAAUUGACAAGAAACACAGACCAUUUCAAAAUAAAUACGGUAACGGAAAGUUUAAAAUAUACAAUAGAGAAACAAUUCCUAACCCUUUCAUUACCAACCCAGCUGAAACCGGUGCUGGCUCUGAGUACAAAUGUCUUGUUUUCAUAAGUUUUGAAUUACAAUCUUCUACCAAGCCUUAGUCAUAAUUUAUGUUCCUAACACAAGCUUAAUGAUAACUAAGUUAUUUUACUAAACUCUUAGUUAUAUUUAAAAUUAAUUGAAAGAAAAACAGAGCAUCUCAAAAUAAAUACAGUAAGGAAAGGGUUAAAAAGACGAAUGUUAUAAAACCAUAGAUCUUCCUUGUUGAAAGAUGAGAAUUGUCUUACAAAAAUGAUGAAUCUUAAUCUGUUGAUGUGUAUCUUGAGCACAAAGCAAAGAAACAUUUUGAAGAGGGCAAGGGUUAAACAAACUUGGUUGCAAAGGUAUUUUUAGCCUGGUGAUUGUUUUUUUUAUGUUUUAAAAUUAAUUUUUUUUGGCUGUAGAUUAAUUAAAACACGUGAGUAAUUAGGUGAGUGUGUUGCACAUGUUAUGGAGAGACUUAAAAGAGUGAAGCAGUGAGAAACUUAACGAGAGCACUAACGAGUACCAUAUUUAAUCCUUUAGCAUUUAAACAGGCCGCAUUUGGCCCAAAUAUUCUAUUUUAUGUUCAAAAUGGCCAUAUCUGGCCUCUCACACCUACCCUACAAUGUCAUUCAAAAAUAAACAAUCAUAUCAUUGGCAUCUCAAAGCUAUGAGAUGAUCCAGGAUUAAUUCAAAACAAUGUAAAUAAAUAAGCAUUACUGUUGUUAGAUAAAUCUGAAUGCCAAAGAUAUUUUUUUUUCUAAAAAAUGCAAGAGUGGCUGUGUGGUAAGUAGCUUGCUAACCAACCACAUGGUGGCGGGUUCAGUCCCACUGCGUGGCAUCUUGGGCAAGUGUCUUUAAUAUUUUUUUAAAGUACUGGGAUCGAUUCAUUCAAUUAAAAAUUCUUCAAGGCUGCAGUUUAAUGAGUGAAACAAGUAAAAGCUAAAAGAUUAACCAACCUCCAAACUGAAAAUCACUGCAUCACACUUCUUUUUCACUUCCCUACCAACCCAUCUUUUUCUGACCCUUUAUCUCUAUUUUUCUCUCCCUAAUAUUCACCUUCUACCCUUGACCUCACAUCCCUCUCUCUCUCUUUCUUUCCAGAUCAGUAAACCAUAUUAUAUUCAGUUCUAUAUUUUGGGGAUGAGGAAUUAUGGACAUUAUUUGCAACGGACAGACAUGUGCCCUCAUCUUUGUUGUUACCACAACAUUUCGGCUGAUGUACUCUCCAGCCUUCAUCAGGUGUCCUGGUAGAAUUUUGAACCUAACCCUUUAUUUGACCAAUGGGGUACUCUGUUCUCAUUCCUAAGGUAUUUUUUGCUGAUGUUAUUAUUAUCAUUAUUUAUUCAAGUCACUCUCUGGGAUUGAACCAGAAUCUCAGAGUUAGUAGCCCACGCUCUUAACCACUAUGCUAUAACAGCAAAAAAUAACUUAGGAAUGAGAACAGAGUACCCCAUUAGUCAAAUAAUGGGUUGGGUUUGAAAUUUCACCAGGACACCUGAUGAAAGCUGGAGAGUACAUCAGACGAAAUGUUGUAACACCAAACAAGAUAAGGACAUCUAUCCAUCCAAUAUAAAUAAUGAACAUAUCAUAUUCACUUCUUCAGCAAGAUACACGACCCUAUUCCUCUAUCAUACCUUCAUAUCCUGCAAUAUUAUACCCCGCUCAGUUAAGGGGUCCUGCCUUGCAAAUUACUCGAUGACCUUACUGCCACCAGUGCCACAAAAACAGCAAC
Molecule: long non-coding RNA, 4312 nt
Filed under: Octopus vulgaris (common octopus)
Lineage: Eukaryota; Metazoa; Mollusca; Cephalopoda; Octopoda; Octopodidae
Source: RNAcentral